UGUAUGAUCUACAUCAACACUCUUACAUCGGUAUUUUGUAACAUCAUUCACGUUAUUAGCAAUGGCUUGAUCUAAAAUACCAGAUACAUGCGCUAUGUGAUAUCGCUCACUGAUAUGGUUAUACAUCAGACAUAAACAAUUCCCCAUAUUUUCACACUGUUAGUUUUUUCUAGCAUAUAAAUCUCUCCAAUAGUCCCCAAUCUCUCUAAUUUUGGCUAUUUUAACCACAUCAUCACCUACAAAAGCGUCAUACAUAGCACUGAUUUUAGUCGUGACAUCUUCAGCCGUUUUCAACUCGUACAAAACGGUUUCUGUUACUCCAAGGAUUCUACCCUCGUCAGCCGUGAGAUGUUUAAAGGACAGAAAAUGCUGUACAACACCGAUGAAUUUAUCAGUCAAUAGUCUUUUCAUAAGCUGUUCAAA
Molecule: long non-coding RNA, 423 nt
Organism: Sander lucioperca (pikeperch)
Lineage: Eukaryota; Metazoa; Chordata; Actinopteri; Perciformes; Percidae
Exons: 3
Source: RefSeq, a predicted model, not a curated record